This 1015-nucleotide ribosomal RNA is filed under the name Staphylococcus aureus. RNAcentral describes it as "partial 23S ribosomal RNA". It matches the Rfam family "Bacterial large subunit ribosomal RNA", at positions 1286 to 2297 of the family's 2925-position model. The record is from RNAcentral. Lineage: Bacteria; Bacillati; Bacillota; Bacilli; Caryophanales; Staphylococcaceae.
AAGUGAGAAUGCCGGUGUGAGUAGCGAAAGACGGGUGAGAAUCCCGUCCACCGAUUGACUAAGGUUUCCAGAGGAAGGCUCGUCCGCUCUGGGUUAGUCGGGUCCUAAGCUGAGGCCGACAGGCGUAGGCGAUGGAUAACAGGUUGAUAUUCCUGUACCACCUAUAAUCGUUUUAAUCGAUGGGGGGACGCAGUAGGAUAGGCGAAGCGUGCGAUUGGAUUGCACGUCUAAGCAGUAAGGCUGAGUAUUAGGCAAAUCCGGUACUCGUUAAGGCUGAGCUGUGAUGGGGAGAAGACAUUGUGUCUUCGAGUCGUUGAUUUCACACUGCCGAGAAAAGCCUCUAGAUAGAAAAUAGGUGCCCGUACCGCAAACCGACACAGGUAGUCAAGAUGAGAAUUCUAAGGUGAGCGAGCGAACUCUCGUUAAGGAACUCGGCAAAAUGACCCCGUAACUUCGGGAGAAGGGGUGCUCUUUAGGGUUAACGCCCAGAAGAGCCGCAGUGAAUAGGCCCAAGCGACUGUUUAUCAAAAACACAGGUCUCUGCUAAACCGUAAGGUGAUGUAUAGGGGCUGACGCCUGCCCGGUGCUGGAAGGUUAAGAGGAGUGGUUAGCUUCUGCGAAGCUACGAAUCGAAGCCCCAGUAAACGGCGGCCGUAACUAUAACGGUCCUAAGGUAGCGAAAUUCCUUGUCGGGUAAGUUCCGACCCGCACGAAAGGCGUAACGAUUUGGGCACUGUCUCAACGAGAGACUCGGUGAAAUCAUAGUACCUGUGAAGAUGCAGGUUACCCGCGACAGGACGGAAAGACCCCGUGGAGCUUUACUGUAGCCUGAUAUUGAAAUUCGGCACAGCUUGUACAGGAUAGGUAGGAGCCUUUGAAACGUGAGCGCUAGCUUACGUGGAGGCGCUGGUGGGAUACUACCCUAGCUGUGUUGGCUUUCUAACCCGCACCACUUAUCGUGGUGGGAGACAGUGUCAGGCGGGCAGUUUGACUGGGGCGGUCGCCUCCUAAAAGG